This 459-nucleotide ribosomal RNA is filed under the name uncultured bacterium. RNAcentral describes it as "partial 16S ribosomal RNA". It matches the Rfam family "Bacterial small subunit ribosomal RNA", at positions 338 to 795 of the family's 1533-position model. The record is from RNAcentral.
CCUACGGGGCGCAGCAGUGAGGAAUAUUGGUCAAUGGUCGGGAGACUGAACCAGCCAAGCCGCGUGAGGGAUGAAGGUACAGAGUAUCGUAAACCUCUUUUGUCAGGGAACAAAGGCGGGGACGUGUCCCCGGAUGAGUGUACCUGAAGAAAAAGCAUCGGCUAACUCCGUGCCAGCAGCCGCGGUAAUACGGAGGAUGCGAGCGUUAUCCGGAUUUAUGGGGUUUAAAGGGUGCGCAGGCGGUCUGUUAAGUCAGCGGUCAAAGCCCGGGGCUCAACCCCGGCCCGCCGUUGAAACUGGCAGUCUCGAGUUGGAGAGAAGUAUGCGGAAUGCGCGGUGUAGCGGUGAAAUGCAUAGAUAUCGCGCAGAACUCCGAUUGCGAAGGCAGCAUGCCGGCUCCACACUGACGCUGAGGCACGAAAGCGUGGGUAUCGAACAGGAUUAGAUACCCGGGUAGUC